GUGCUCACUUCAGCAGCACGUAUACUAAAAUUGGAAUGAUACAGAGAAGAUUAGCAUGGCCCCUGCACAAGAUGGGCACGCAAAUUCGUGAAGCGUUCCAUAUUUAA
Molecule: small nuclear RNA, 107 nt
Organism: Mesoplodon densirostris (Blainville's beaked whale)
Lineage: Eukaryota; Metazoa; Chordata; Mammalia; Artiodactyla; Ziphiidae
Source: RefSeq, a predicted model, not a curated record